RNAcentral lists this ribosomal RNA (531 nucleotides) under uncultured bacterium. Its description in RNAcentral is "bacterial SSU rRNA". It matches the Rfam family "Bacterial small subunit ribosomal RNA", at positions 979 to 1509 of the family's 1533-position model. The record is from RNAcentral.
CCUUGACAUACUAAGAACUUUCCAGAGAUGGAUUGGUGCCUUCGGGAACUUAGAUACAGGUGCUGCAUGGCUGUCGUCAGCUCGUGUCGUGAGAUGUUGGGUUAAGUCCCGCAACGAGCGCAACCCUUUUCCUUAUUUGCCAGCGGGUCAUGCCGGGAACUUUAAGGAUACUGCCAGUGACAAACUGGAGGAAGGCGGGGACGACGUCAAGUCAUCAUGGCCCUUACGGCCAGAGCUACACACGUGCUACAAUGGUCGGUACAAAGGGUUGCUACCUCGCGAGAGGAUGCUAAUCUCAAAAAGCCGAUCGUAGUCCGGAUCGCAGUCUGCAACUCGACUGCGUGAAGUCGGAAUCGCUAGUAAUCGCGGAUCAGAAUGCCGCGGUGAAUACGUUCCCGGGCCUUGUACACACCGCCCGUCACACCAUGGGAGUUUGUUGCACCAGAAGUAGGUAGUCUAACCGCAAGGAGGACGCUUACCACGGUGUGGCCGAUGACUGGGGUGAAGUCGUAACAAGGUAGGCGUAGAUGA